Molecule: transfer RNA, 73 nt
Filed under: Microgenomates group bacterium RIFCSPLOWO2_01_FULL_46_13
Lineage: Bacteria
Description: tRNA-Val
Rfam family: tRNA
About the family: Transfer RNA (tRNA) molecules are approximately 80 nucleotides in length.
Source: RNAcentral
GGCCGUUUAGCUCAGUUGGUAGAGCGCUUCGUUUACAUCGAAGAGGUCGUAGGUUCGAGACCUACAACGGCCA